This is a non-coding RNA of Camelina sativa (false flax), 205 nucleotides long. The record is from RefSeq and is a predicted model, not a curated record. Lineage: Eukaryota; Viridiplantae; Streptophyta; Magnoliopsida; Brassicales; Brassicaceae.
CGACGAUUCGUGGGGAGAUUGGUUUCAAAUUAAUCUUAAGGGUUCUUGUUUUUGGUUUGAUUUAGGCAUGAAACUAUUAUAAUCGGCUGGGCUUCGUCUCCUUCGUGAUGAUUGGUUUCAAAUUAAGGGUUUUGUUUUUGGUUUGAUUCGAGAACGAAACUACAACAAUCGGCUGGGCUUGGUCUCCUUCGUGAUUGAUUUGGUU